Peromyscus californicus insignis is the source of this 4110-nucleotide long non-coding RNA. RefSeq lists it as uncharacterized. The record is from RefSeq and is a predicted model, not a curated record. The transcript has 2 exons. NCBI's taxonomy places the organism in Eukaryota, Metazoa, Chordata, Mammalia, Rodentia, Cricetidae.
AAAAAAAAAAAGGAUUAAACAAGCAAACAAAGCAACUAAAACAGAAAAAGAGAAAAGAAUGCUGACACUGUACUCCAAGAAAGCUAAUAAAAUUCUCAUUUGGAAACACUACUCCAAGCUACCCUCAAACCUCUACAUUAAAAACACUGCACCUUCACCACCGGCAUUCAAUCCGAACCUUGUUCUCGUUUUUUUCGUUGUUUGGGGCUACAUAAUCCAACCUGGCCUCGAACUCUCGAUCCUCUGCCUCAGCCUCAGGAGCGAGGGCAAAUUCGUGUUGUUUUUGAAUAUGUAAUUUAUUUUUAUUUUAUGUUCAUUGGUGUUUUAACCUGCCUGCAUGUAUGUCUGAGAGUGUCAGAUGUCCUGGAACUGGAGUUACAGAUAACUGGGAGUGUCCAUGUGGGUGCUAGGAAUUGAACCCCGGUCUUCCGAAAGAGCAGCCAGUGCUUUUUUUUUUUUUAAUCCUGGAACUCGCUUUGAAGAUGAGGCUGGCCUCGAACUCACGAGAUCCGCCUAACCCUGCCUGCCUCCUGAGUACUGGGAUUAAAGACGCGCGACACCCACGCGGGGCACAGCCAGGGCUCUUAGCCGCUGAGCCAUCUCUCCAGCUCAAUGCUUUUUUUUUUUUUUUGAAACUAGAUUUCAUUAUGUGGCACUGGCUGGCCUCGAACUCACAGAGAUCCCUCUGCCUCUAUAGAGUGCUAGGAUUAAAAGCAAGCGCCACCACGCCCAGUUUUUUGUUUUAAAUUGGUAAAAAAAAAACCACUGCUUAAUGGAAAGAGCCACAGGUGUAACCGGAAGACAGUUAUCGAAAGAAGCAGAAAAGAGACCAAAGGCACCGAACUCAGUCACCGCCCAGGGACCAGAGUAUCAGGACCCUGGAAGCCGGGGUCACAACUUCCCCCAACACUGUGGGCGUCCUACCUGUCGCAUCCCCCUCCUCGGGACCGGAGAAAUGCCGCCUUUCUCUGGAAAAGCCGGCCUGAGGCGCUCCACGAAGCUGGACAACUCCUCUCCAGCCCAGCGGCGGGAAGCUCCGCACUAGUUUGCAGGAGUCUCACUGUGUAGACUAGAACUCACAGAAAUCUGCCUGUUCCUGCCUCCUGAGUGCCUGAGACUAAAGUCAAGGGCCACCACAGCCCAUCCUUGCUCUACUUUUCCUCCCUUCCUCCCCACCUCUCUCUCUCUCUCUCUCCCUCUCCCUCUUUCUUUCUUUCUUUCUUCCUUUCUUUCUUUCUCUCUUUCUUCUUUUCUCUUCUUUUUUUCCCCCUCCAGACAGGGUUUCCCUGUGUAACCCUGGUGUCCUGGAUCUCACUCUGUAGACCAGGCUGGCCUUGAACUCAGAGAUCUGUCAUCCUCUACCUCCCAAGUGCUGGGAUUAGAGUUGGGCCCCACCAUGCCCCCCCCCCCCUCUUAAAGGUGGAGAUUUCUGUAAAUAAUCCCAAUCAAACUCAUUGGUUCAACAAGUUAAACUUUGGUGGUAUCUGUACUUUGUAGUAGAAUAUUUUAAGGUGUGUUACUUUUGUUUAUGUUGCAUUUGUUUAACUCUGUGAAGCUGUGUUACUGUGCCUGUGUAAAACACCUGAUUGUUUAAUAAAGAACUGGCCAAUAGCAAGGCAGGAGAAAGGAUAGGUGGGGCUGGCAAGCAGAGAGAAUAUAUAGGAGAAAACUGGGGGAUCUGAUUUAAGAAUUAGAAGCUAGAGAAGGAGGCUCCAGGGGCCAGCCACCCAGCUACACAGCAAGCCAUGGAGUAAGAGUAAGAUAUCAGAAGUUAUGAGAAUAGGAAAAGCCUAGAGGCAAAAGGUAGAUGGGAUAAUUUAAGAUACUGAAAGCUGCUAUAAACUAAGCCAAACUAAGGCAUUCAUAAGUAAUAAUAAGUCUCCAUGUGUGAUUUAUUUGGGAGCUGGAUGGUGGGCCUCUCAAAAAGAGCAAAACCCCCCAACAACAGUACUUUGGUCUGUGUGGGCUCCCGACGGGUGAGUAGAUGUGUGUGCUAUGCCUCCCCAGGAAAAGUUUUGUCGCACAACAGCAUCAUCUCCAUGUUCUGUUCUUUUUUUUAGACAGGGUUUAUUUCUUACAGUCAAGGUAGCCUCUUAAGAAACAGGGUCUUACUAUUGUCCUGUUCUGGUGGGCAACCAAUAACAGUGGCAACAACUAGUAGGGAGGUGGCUCACUCCUGGCAAGGCAGUGACCUAGGGCUUCUGGAAUUUGCUUUAUCCACUUACAUAAGCUCCCUCUGUUGGGAGCACAAAGGGUCCUCAUGCUCCAGGAAUGUUAAAAUUGCAGGGUUGUCUUUUCAGGGGAAAAGAUACAGAACCUGUUUUUCCACCCAGAAGGCUGGAAAUGGGAAUAGAGGUGAUUAAUAUCCUGUUUAUCUGGUUAUUUGAAGGGCCAGGCCAUCCCAAGCUCCCACAAGCAGGACCUUUGCAUUAUCUGUAUGGCCAGGUGAUCCCCCCCAGGCUCCCUCAACCAGGACCAGAGGUGGCUAAUAGCCCAAAUGACCUCUGUGCUACCUGUAUGACUGAACUGAAACCACACAGAUCCAUUCCUAGGCCCUUAAGAUAAUACAAGUAGCCUAUCACUAGAAUUCAUCUUCUUGGAAGAAGUGACAUGUACUUUUUGGUUUUGUUUGUUUGUUUGUUUUUGAGGCAAGGUUUCUCUGUGUAGCCCUGGCUGUCCUGGAACUCGCUCUGUAGACCAGGCUGGCCUGAACUUGCAGAGAUCCACAUGCCUCUGCCUUCCGAGUGCUGAGAUUAAAGGCGUGCGCCACCACCGCCCCUCCCAUGACAAGUAGUUUGAGUUGAGUUUCUAUAGAUAAGCCUCCUUGUGCCUAGAAGCCCUGUAAGACCACUGCUUACUGACUUGCUCCCUAUGGUGUGUUCAGUCUGCUUUCUGAUACAACUCAGGACCAUGCAGGUGUGGGGGGUGUUGGCACCAACCCCCUCUGGAUUGGGUCCUCCCACAUCCAUCAUAUCAUCAAUCAAGAAAAUGUCCUAUAGACUUACCUCCAGGCCAUCUUGUUGCAGGGAUUUUCUCAACUGAGUUUCCAUUUUCCAGAUAAUCCUAGCUUGUGUCAAAUUGAUUAAAAAAAAGAAAAGAAUUAACCAGAACACUUUCUCCCUCCCUCUCUGAAGUGCCACCAAGAGGGACACUGGUCAGCUGACUGCCCCUGUGCACCUUGUGGCAUGGGGACAUAAAACAAAGAUCACCCUCCAGCCGAUCUCCUAGGCUUGACCAUGGGCAAGGAUUGAAGGUACUAUCUUUCACAGGGAACUCACUUUGUAGACAAUGCUGGCCUUGAACUUGGAGAUCUGCCUGCCUCUUCCUCCUCCUCCUGAGUGCUAGGACUAAAGGUGUGCACCACCACCACCCAGCAGCAUCAUCUUAAUUUAGCAAUACAAAAGCAGUGGUUUUCUCUCCAGGGUUUAUGAUCUCCCCAGUCACAGGCUUUUGAGGGGGUUUUCAGGACUAGACAGAAGUUCUUUUUUGUGGAGUAGAAAUCAAAUCCAAUCAGAAAGCACUUGGCUACCCUCAUAACAGACUUGCUAUCAUGGAGGGUUCAUCUUCCCUGGCUGGUUGGUUUUGUUUUACAUAGGAAUUAUGUCUUGUAACAGUAUUGAUGACAAUUCCUCCUCUGAAGUCUGCACAGUACUUUCCAGUACCAUGAGGCCUAGCCUCAUGGGUACCUUCCUCCAGAGAGGAAGCUCCCAGCCCAGCUCCAACUUAAUUUCUAUUUUUUUUUUUUUUUUUGAGACAGGGUUUCUCUGUGUAGCCCUGGCUGUCCUGGUCUUGAACUCAGAAAUCCACCUGCCUCUGCUUCCCAAGUGCUGGGACUAAAAUUGUGUGCUAUCAUGCCCAGCUUCUUUAUUUCUUACAGUCUGGACUCUGCAAAAAAAUAGACUUUAAUAUAACAAUCUAUUACUGUUAAAUACCCUUAGCAAUUGAUCACUUGUGUUUCCUGGAUGCUAAACUAAUAAAGAAAACAAGUGUCUUGAGGUUUGUCUUAGAGAAGGCUUAUCUCAAGUGAAAAUUAAAAGCAUGUUCCAGGUCUCUCUCUCUCUCUCUCUCUCUCUCUCUCUCUCUCUCUCUCUCUCUCUCUCUCUCUCUCUC